AUGCCUUACACAUGCAAGUCGAACGGCAGCACGGGGGCAACCCUGGGGGCGAGUGGCGAACGGGUGAGUAAUACAUCGGAACGUGUCCUGUAGUGGGGGAUAGCCCGGCGAAAGCCGGAUUAAUACCGCAUACGAUCUACGGAUGAAAGCGGGGGAUCUUCGGACCUCGCGCUAUAGGGGCGGCCGAUGGCGGAUUAGCUAGUUGGUGGGGUAAAGGCUCACCAAGGCGACGAUCCGUAGCUGGUCUGAGAGGACGACCAGCCACACUGGGACUGAGACACGG
This 283-nucleotide ribosomal RNA is filed under the name Burkholderia sp. DV9. RNAcentral's name for it is "partial 16S ribosomal RNA". It matches the Rfam family "Bacterial small subunit ribosomal RNA", at positions 45 to 329 of the family's 1533-position model. Lineage: Bacteria; Pseudomonadati; Pseudomonadota; Betaproteobacteria; Burkholderiales; Burkholderiaceae. The record is from RNAcentral.